UACGGAACUUCCUCAGGGACCACAUUAAUAUAAAAAAUAUAUAAACACAAUCACAAAGGAUCAUAGCAUAUCCUCUUUAAUAUGAUAUAUGCUAUGAUCAUUUGUGAUUGUGUAUAUAUAUAUUUUUUAAAUUAUUGUGGUCCCUGAGGAAGUUCCGG
Pelobates cultripes (western spadefoot toad) is the source of this 158-nucleotide non-coding RNA. The record is from the annotation of a GenBank genome assembly. Lineage: Eukaryota; Metazoa; Chordata; Amphibia; Anura; Pelobatidae.